Molecule: RNA transcript, 700 nt
Organism: Galeopterus variegatus (Sunda flying lemur)
Lineage: Eukaryota; Metazoa; Chordata; Mammalia; Dermoptera; Cynocephalidae
Gene name: ras-related protein Rap-1b pseudogene
Exons: 1
Source: RefSeq, a predicted model, not a curated record
AGGUAAUAGGUAUUGACAAGUUUGCAUCAUGCGUGAGUAUAAGCUGGUCGUUCUUGGAUCAGGAGGCGUUGGAAAGUCCGCUCUGACUGUACAGUUUGUUCAAGGAAUUUUUGUUGAAAAAUAUGAUCCUACGAUAGAAGAUUCUUACAGAAAGCAAGUUGAAGUAGAUGCACAACAGUGUAUGCUUGAAAUCUUGGAUACUGCAGGAACGGAACAACUCACAGCAAUUAGGGAUUUGUACAUGAAAAAUGGACAAGGCUUUGCAUUAGUUUAUUACAUCACAGCACAGUCCACAUUUAACGAUUUAUAAGGUCUGAGAGAACAGAUUCUUCGAGUUAAAGAUACUGAUCAUGUUCCAAUGAUUCUGGUUGGUAAUAAGUGUGACUUGGAAGACAAAAGAGUUGUAGAAAAGGAACAAGGUCAAAAUCUAGCAAGACCAUGGAACAACUGUGCAUUCUUAGAAUCUUCUGCAAAAUCAAAUAUAAAUGUUAAUGAGAUCUUUUAUGACCUAGUGCAGCAAAUUAACAGAAAAAUUCCAGUGCCUGGGAAGGCCUGCAAAAAGUCAAUAUGUCAGCUGCUUUAAUAUACUAAAUGCAUUGUAGCUCUGAGCCAGGUCUGAAGAACUGUUGCCCAAUUCAACAGUGCCAGCAUUCCAACUUUGUUAAACCUACCAGCAUCUUAAAUGGACUUUCCUGUGGUG